CAUAAGAAUAUUUGUUGGAGACGACAAAGUCACAUAACCCCAAAGUCCAUAAGCAUAACACAUAACCUCUUUUUCGCACUUCUUUCACGAGCACCCGAUUUCGCCGCCACUACCGGAGAUUACAAUCAACUCUGAGAGAGUAGCAUCAGGUGUUAUCAUCGUAUUCUAAGAAGCUAGUUCGUUGAUCCAAACACUAAUUAUGGAUCUUUCGGAAGAUAUACGCUCUCUGCAGCUUGAUUCAUCUGUAGAAGAUAGUGGUGCAAUAGAUGUGGAGGAUAUUAAGCCAAAAGAAGCUGAUGGUGCAGUUGAGAUGGAGGAAGAUAUUGUAGAGUCCACAAAUGCUGAACAGAUGGAAGUAGAGCCAAAAGAGAAGGAAAAGGUGGAAGCUCCUGUCCAUGAAGUAAAGGAAAAGGUGGAAGCUCCUAUCCACGAAGUAAAGGAAGUGAAGGAUGUUGAGGAGGCUAGGAACAAGAAGCGUCACCUUAAUGUCGUAUCUAUUGGUCACGUUGAUGCUGGUAAGUCAACGAUUGGUGGCCAAAUUCUUUUUCUUAGCGGGCAGGUUGAUGACCGUACAAUCCAAAAGUACGAGAAAGAAGCCAAGGAUAAAGCAAGAGACAGCUGGUACAUGGCAUACAUUAUGGAUACUAAUGAAGAAGAACGUUCAAAGGGUAUUACAGUUGAAGUUGGUAGAGCACAUUUCGAGACUGAGAGAACCAGGUUUACCAUUUUGGAUGCACCGGGUCAUAAAAGCUAUGUACCAAAUAUGAUCAGUGGGGCUUCACAAGCUGACAUCGGGGUUUUGGUGAUAUCUGCUCGGAAAGGGGAGUUUGAAACUGGAUAUGAGAAAGGAGGACAGACUAGAGAACACGUCUUGCUUGCAAAGACUUUGGGUGUAUCCAAGCUUAUAGUUGUGGUCAACAAGAUGGAUGAACCUACAGUCAAUUGGUCAAAAGAAAGGUACGAUGAAAUAGAGUCAAAGAUGAUUCCUUUCUUGAAAUCUUCAGGCUACAAUGUCAAGAAAGAUGUCCAAUUUCUCCCAAUAUCAGGUUUGGUUGGAUCAAACCUUAAAACAAGAGUAGACAAAAGUGUAUGUCCAUGGUGGGAUGGUCCAUGUCUUUUUGAAGUGCUAGAUAAUGUUGAAGUCCCUACACGAGACCCCAAAGGCCCCUUUAGGAUGCCAAUCAUUGAUAAAUUCAAGGACCUGGGAACUGUUGUCAUGGGAAAAGUAGAAUCUGGCUCUAUACGGGAGGGUGAUUCCUUAAUCGUCAUGCCCAACAAGGUUAAUGUGAAAGUUGUUGCCAUAUAUAUUGAUGAUGAUAAGGUCAAACGUGCAGACCCUGGUGAAAAUCUGCGGGUUAGACUGUCUGGAAUUGAAGAAGAAGAUAUAUUAUCAGGCUUUGUCUUGUCAAGCAUUUCGAAGCCAAUUCCAGCUGUAAAUGAGUUUGUUGCUCAGUUAAGGAUCCUUGAGUUGCUUGAUAAUGCAAUUUUUACCGCUGGCUACAAGGCAGUCUUGCAUGUUCAUUCAGUUGUUGAAGAAUGCGAGAUUGUAGAGCUGCUGCGGCAGAUUGAUUUAAAAACUGGGAAACCAAUGAAGAAGAAAGUUCUUUUUGUGAAGAAUAAUGCUGUUGUUGACUGUCGUAUUCAGCUAAACAAUUCAAUAUGUGUGGAGAAGUUUUCUGAUUUCCCACAGCUUGGAAGGUUUACCCUUCGAACUGAAGGGAAAACGGUCGCUGUGGGGAAAAUCAUCAAUCUUCCUUCUAUCGGCAGCAGUGCCUGACCAAUUUUGCUGCCACAGGUGGGGCCCUCUGUCCUCUGUGAGGCACUGUGUCACGCAAGGACAAAGAUGGCUAGAUGUUCAAAGCAAUAAUCACUGAAGCAUAUUUAGCAGCCUCGAGGGUAGUAUAUUUUUGUUUGACGGGAAAUCUGCACUUCAUUGGGUGCGCAUCACUGUAUUUUGAGUGAAUGUUCCGAAUGGUGCAAAUGAGGGUCUACACCAAGCAUAUGAUGCAGUUGCAUACUGGAUUGAACACUAGUUGAUUUUUAUCAGAUAAUUUGUUAGGGUUGUGCUAAUGUACUACUAUUUUGCUGUUAUGGUCAAGUGCUACUGCACAAACCUGCCUUUUGGAUGUAUAAAAUGAUUUCGCUGGUACUGGACUAGCCUACCAGUUAUAUUUUUGGUAAUAUAUUUAUGCUUCCUGUUUGUCUAUUUAUCCUGAUGAUAUUAUGCAGUUGGUUAGUUUGGUU
Molecule: RNA transcript, 2244 nt
Organism: Chenopodium quinoa (quinoa)
Lineage: Eukaryota; Viridiplantae; Streptophyta; Magnoliopsida; Caryophyllales; Amaranthaceae
Gene name: eukaryotic peptide chain release factor GTP-binding subunit ERF3A-like
Exons: 21
Source: RefSeq, a predicted model, not a curated record